UGCGUAGGCGGUCUUUUAAGUCAGUGGUGAAAUCCUGCGGCUCAACCGUAGAACUGCCAUUGAAACUGAAAGACUUGAAUACACCAGAGGUAAGCGGAAUGUGUAGUGUAGCGGUGAAAUGCUUAGAUAUUACACAGAACACCAAUUGCGAAGGCAGCUUACCAUAGUGUCAUUGACGCUGAUGCACGAAAGCGUGGGGAGCGAACAGGAUUAGAUACCCUGGUAGUCC
Molecule: ribosomal RNA, 229 nt
Filed under: uncultured bacterium
Lineage: Bacteria
Description: partial 16S ribosomal RNA
Rfam family: Bacterial small subunit ribosomal RNA
Source: RNAcentral